Molecule: ribosomal RNA, 252 nt
Filed under: uncultured bacterium
Lineage: Bacteria
Description: partial 16S ribosomal RNA
Rfam family: Bacterial small subunit ribosomal RNA
Source: RNAcentral
UACGGAGGAUGCGAGCGUUAUCCGGAUUUAUUGGGUUUAAAGGGUGCGUAGGCGGACGCUUAAGUCAGCGGUAAAAUUGCGGGGCUCAACCUCGUCGAGCCGUUGAAACUGGGUGCCUUGAGUGGGCGAGAAGUACGCGGAAUGCGUGGUGUAGCGGUGAAAUGCAUAGAUAUCACGCAGAACUCCGAUUGCGAAGGCAGCGUACCGGCGCCCAACUGACACUGAGGCUCGAAAGCGUGGGGAGCAACCAGG